Molecule: transfer RNA, 74 nt
Filed under: Felis catus (domestic cat)
Lineage: Eukaryota; Metazoa; Chordata; Mammalia; Carnivora; Felidae
Rfam family: tRNA
About the family: Transfer RNA (tRNA) molecules are approximately 80 nucleotides in length. Their secondary structure includes four short double-helical elements and three loops (D, anti-codon, and T loops).
Source: Rfam by way of RNAcentral
GCCUGGCUGGCUCAGUAGGAAGAGCAUGCGGCUCUUGAUGUCGGGGGUCGUGAGUUCGAGCCCCACGUUGGGUG